GUUUAUUCAAAAUGACCUCCGUGAUUUUUAAUACAGGCCUUCAAUCUGCGCGGCCAGUCGUCUAUCGCAGCACGAACGAAGUCCAUGUCAAUAUCGGCGGCUGCCUUAAUCAAAGAUGUCUUAAGUGACUCCAAAUUGGGAUGAGGCUUUGAGCACGCCUUUUCCUCCAAGUGUUGCCAUAUCUUGUAAUCUAACGGAUUCAAAUCUGGACUGGAGGAGGGCCAGUCUUCGUGCCGGAUGAAAUCGAUUUCACGCGCCGCCAGCCAGUCUUGUGUGCUCUUUGCUCUAUGAGCUGGCGCCGAAUCUUGUUGGAAUACCCAGUGCCUGUUAUCGAACAUGGUAUGAGAAACAGGUUCCACAAGGUUCGUCAGGACUGUAUUUUGAUACACAACUGCAUUCGUUUUUACACCUUUCUCACAAAAAUGUACCUCUGUUAAGCCCCAAUAAGAAACUCCCAACCAUACCGUGAGCGAGGAUGGAAAAUGACCUCGUUGGACACGCGGAAUACGGUUGCUCGCUUCUUCACUACUGUGUGCGUACACAGUAUCAUUCUGUUUGUUGUAGCUCUCUUCUACGGUAAAAAUUUUUUCAUCCGAAAAAAGAAUUUCCCGAUAUUUUUUUCCCGCGUACCGUUUCGACAAAGCGCGGCAUCUCUUCAGUCUCAGGUCCAUUAGACGAGCAUUCAAACAAUGUCCUGUUUUUCUUCGAUAUGCCCGAAGCCCUAAGUCUUCAUUUAACACCCUUUUUACCGUGGUUCUGCUUAACCCCAUCUGAAGGGCCAACAGUUUCUGCUUACGUUUGGGAUUUCUUUGAAUUCGCGCCUUCACAGCUUUUAUCACUGCUGGAGUCCUAACAGACCGAGGGCGACCACUUCUUGACCUGUCAUCUACACUAGAGUCUUCAUUGUAUCGUUUGAUGGUACGAUAAACGAAUCUUUUGGUUAUAUUCAAAUUUUUCAGUAUGUUUGUUUGUUUGUUUGAAUUGACGCGUAACCGCAACGAUGCAAUGCAAUAACUGCAACACGGUCAUCUUUAGACGUCCACUCCAUAUUUAAAAAUGAGUAAAAUUCUAAAAGUAUACAUUUUUAUUUUCAUGAACAAUUCUAAAUUCGAAUUCAAUAAACUUUUUUGUGGUCAGCAUUCUAAAAGAAAAGUUUUUACUGUGUGACAAUACUUAUGACCUGACUAGGUAUUUAAAGAUCAUUUUAAAGUAAUUUCUCCAUUAAAGACAGCAGCGUUGAGGAACGGUGCUGAGUUCUGUCAAUCAGGUUUGCCAGUUCAUUUUACAUGUAAAGAAAUAAAAACUGUGAUAAAGGGUAUGAAAAAAGGCAAGUCUCCUGGUAAUGAUGGGCUCAGCAUCGAGCAUCUCCAGAAUUCUGGUGUUCACCUGCCGAGAGUUUUGACUAUGUUGUUCAAUUUGUUUGUAGGGCAUUCUCACUUACCAAGGGAGAUGUGGGACACAAUAGUUGUACCUAUUGUAAAAAACAGGACAGGAGACAUAGCGGACAAGGGAAAUUAUAGACCAAUUUCACUGGCAACCAUCAUAGCCAAGGUGUUCGACAGCGUGCUUGACUCACAUCUCAGUGGAUACACUAAACUACAUGAUACAUAGUUUGGAUUUUGUGCUGGGCUAUCUACUGAGAGUGCCAUUUUUGCACUGAAGCAUGCUGUCAAAUACUACACCGAUAGGAAAACACCAGUGUAUGCCUGUUUCCUGGACCUAUCAAAAGCCUUUGACCUUUUUUCCUAUAAUAUCUUGUGGAAAGCUACUGGGAGAGGGUGUACCUCCUUCAUUAGUAAAUAUAUUGUCUCUGUGGUAUGAGAAGCAGAGGAACUAUGUACGGUAGUCCAACGUACUGUCGGACCCUUACAAACUAGAAUGUGGUGUAAGGCAGGGUGGUUUGACCUCCCCGAGGCUCUUUAAUAUCUAUGUAAAUAAGCUCAGUAGCACACAUGUUGGUUGUCAUAUAGAUGAUUUAUGUCUUAAUAACAUUAGCUAUGCAGAUGACAUGGUGCUGCUGAGCCCAUCAAUAUGUGGGUUAAGAAAGUUGCUUUCCAUAUGUGAAUCCUAUGCUGAGGAUCAUGGCCUAAAGUAUAACCCUAAUAAAAGUGAGCUGUUGGUGUUCAGAGGUGUAAACAAAAGUCCACCUCAUGUCCCGCCUCUAAUGCUCGGUGGCUUACCUGUACAAAGAGUAACACAGUUCAAAUAUCUAGGGCAUAUUGUAAGUGAGGAAUUAAAAGAUGAUAUGGACAUGGAAAGGGAACGCAGGGCACCGGGGUGGUUUUAGCCGGUAGGAGUCCGGCACGCCCCUCCGCCUUUACCCAGGCGGAGGUAGGCCAUGAGGAUUUCCCCCCGAAAAAAAAAAAAAAAAAGGACCUCUUUAGUUCGUUGGAAGGUAUUUUGGGUUUGAACGGUAUUUAUUGAGUAUUGUUCUGAGGUUUCUUUUGAAUGUAAGAAGGUUCUAAUGGAAUUAAGUUUAUGUUGAGGUUUGAAGUUAAAGUUUCCUAAAACUUCUCCUAUCUCCUAAGACUCAGAUAUAUUUACUACAGUUAAGUUUAUUCGUUUGUUUUCUUUUACUUUAAGUAGGCAAUAUGCGAUUAGGAUAUCCUUUAAUUGAGAUUGAUCUAAGACAAGACCUUGUUUAACUUCAGGGUUUGAAACGGAACAUUCGAUUAUCAUUUUUGAUCUAGCAGGUAUGGUAUAAGUUGGUUCGUUAAAACGGAGUGGUAAAUAUGUUUUAUUUAAUUUAAGUUGAUAUUUAGUAUAGUCGAUCAUGCAGCCGAAAUGAUUCAGCAUAUCUGGUCCGAUGAUGCCGUCAUAUGGCAGAUGAAUUUUGUCUAUGACGUGGAAUUUGUGAUUUAUUGAGUCACGGGAUGAACUAUUUAGUUUCAUUUUUAAUGUGAAAUGACCCAUUGUCUUUGUAGUGUUUACUUCUGGUUUGAUACAAUUUAAAGUUAUUUGUUCUUCUAUAAGUUUGGGGAAAUUUUGGAAGCAAGAGUAUUUUAACAAACAAAUUGCUGAACCUGAAUCAAUGAGUAAGGAAAGUGGGAGUUCCGAUAUGGGUGAAUCGAUUAAGACGUAAGGAACUAAUUUUUUUGUAGGAUCGACGUUUAUUUCGAAUAUUUUAUUGGUUUCUGUUUUAUAUGACUCAGUGGAUUUAGUGGAUUUAAUAGGCUCAGUGGACUCAGGGGACUCAGUGGACUCAGUGGACUCAGGAUACAUGUUUGAUUUCUUAUUAUUAGGUGACACUAUGGUCUUAGUAAGAGCAGCGUCGAAUUUGUUAAUAUUGUGUGCCUCGCACGACACCGAUACGGGCCACCUAUUCGUUUUUUGGUUUACCGUUUUCAUGUACGUUGUCAUUGUUUCCAUGUUCGAUGUAAUUGUUCUCGUAAUCGUUUGUGUUAUUUUCGUAUUCGCAUUUAUCAACAAAGUUUACGCGUUGUGGUCUGAAACCGGAAGAAGAUGGAUUUUCGAAUUCACGAACACGAUUUUUAAAUUCUCUCUUUUUGCAAUUUUCAAUAGUGUCCGGAGGAUUUACAGUAUUGGCAAAAGCUAUUGUUAAAAUUAUUAUUUCGGUUAAAAUUAUUAGGAUUAGGACGAUAGAUCUGUGGACGAUAGAGAGUUUGAUUAAAAUUAUCAAUUCUGUUAGAUUUAGAAAACCUAUUUUCCGUAUUUACAGGGCGUUUGUUGGACAUGCUUUGUUUAAUGCGCUCUUCGGAAAUUGCAAUAUUAAUAGCUUCAUUAAGAGUUUUGGGAGACCUGCAUCUCACAAUUGCAGAUAACCGCGGAUGUAAUCCGAUAGUAAAAUGAUGGAGUGCGAGGUCCUCCAUUGCCGCUGUACGGCCUGGUAGUUCCUUACUUUUGCAAUUUGAUAGCGAAAUUUCGGUGAGUAAUUGUGAGAGGCUAUAACGUGUCUGUGUCUAAGGGUGUCCCUGGUAUGCUGAUGUUACAUGAGGCCCAGUCGCGUCACUCCCCAAAAGGUGAUCUAUGGGUCGAGAGACGGGGCCGAGUCGCACCACUUCUAGACACUUCACCACCGGUAGACAACCGGUGAACAGGAGACUGUGAGAAGGAUCUCAGGGCGCCACCACUUACCGCUCUGGAAGACCAAUAAAUAAAAAUAAUUACAAUAUAACACUUGUGUUUAGUCAAUACAAAUAACACAGUUACAAUGGUUAUAAUAAUUUACAAAGAUUAAAUUAGCGGUUAGGUACAAUGUUACAUGUGUGUCGUAUACCGAACACACGAGAAAGUUAUCAACGAAAUUAGUUUAAAUUAAAUUACUAGAAACUAUGACGGCUUCACCAAUUUAACAAAAAGACGAUGAAACUUCCCAGCAACUGGGGUUGCUGGAUCCGAGCAAGGCACUUUGAAGAUACAAAAAUUCUACUUAGAAAGAGUGUAGCUCAUUGUAACGACACAGAGUGACUGACAUCGAGCCAACGGGGCUCUAGUAAGUAUAUGUUAGACCGGAAAGUGUUGAUAGACGCACUUUUCGGUCUUAGGUAAAUUAAUUAAUAUACUAGGUGAUAUUAUAACAUUAUAGUAGACCUCACAAAAUACUGGAAAAGAACGAUAGAGUAUUCUCAUACUGUUGAUAAAAGGGAAACCAGUUUCUGUAAAAAUGGAAUGAAUAAAACCUGCCUAAUACUCACGGAUACCGCAGAUCCUGGAAGAUUUUAGAUGGAUUUUGGAUUUUAGAUUUAAUUUGCCACGUGCUCGCAGAGCUCAUCAAAAACGGAAUUGGAUUAAUUUUAAAGCAUACUACGAUAUGGUAAAAAGGACACAACUAACAAGCACUCAGCCCCCCCUAAGCCCGAUUUGUGCAUCUUUAAACGAUGACAGGAUAUCGCCUUACUGCCUCGCUAUGAAAGUCCUAUUCCAUGUUCAUUCCAUACACAAUUACACAGUUUGCAGACACCUCAGAAAUCUUCUAGUUUUACGUUCCCGGACAAAAGAACCUAGUUUGACUGAUUGUAUUUCCGACACAAAUUCCGCUGAGACCAGUUCCAAUCCUCCAAGAGUUCCUUAUACUAAUCGUUCAAAUACCCCAAUUUAUCGAGCAUCUUCGCCCCUAAUCACUCCCAGUAUUGACAGUAUUCAAUCGCCAGUUUCAAGGUAUGCGCGAAAUAGUCCAGUAUCAGAUAUUUCUACAAAUUCUCCUGUGUUAAGAAGAGAAUUUAAUGAUAAAUUAAGAAAAUACCAAAAACGAAAAUCCGCCGAAAUUAUAUCUUUAACAAAAACUAUAACAAAAAUUAAAAAAGAGAAGGAAAUGUAUCGCAAAAGAUUAUUUAGAUUAGAACAAAUUAUAAAGACCAGCCCGAAUAUUAAAUUGCCUACGAUCAAGAUUAGAAAUAAUAUUAGUCCAGAAAAACAAAAAAUACGCAAUAUAGUAAAAGCAUUUACGUUGUAGAUGUUUAUGGGUUCCAGUAACCACUUAACACCAGGUGGGCUGUGAGCUCAUCCAACCUUCUAAGCAAUAAAAAAAUUAAAAAAGUGUAUGGUGUGGCACUAUUGCGAAUGUGGACAUGGAAAAGGUGCACCUCAUGGCGUUGGUGGAGUGCUCAAGAGAUCAACAGAUCAUCAAGUCGCAUUUGGGAACAAUAUAACUGAUAUUGACAGUCUUGUACAAAGAUUCAAUACAGCAAGCAGUACGAGGAGUUACAAUUAAAAUUGUUCAAGAGCAUGAAAUCACUGAAAAAGAUAGACUUCUACCAAAGAAUCUUAAAGGUUUUCCUACACUCGGCGUCAAAAAAUCGCAUCUUUUAAAAAGGCAACUUUAAAAUACUUUUACUCAAACUUUGUCAAUAGUAAGGGUAUGGUUGUAAUAUAGCAUUGGAAUGGUAAUUUAAUUGCCUAUUAGAAAUUAAAAACUUGUGUAUGUCUUUUUAAGCCUUUUUAUAAAAAAAAACUUAAAGAGGGACAAAGCUACAAAAAAUAAAAUUAAAAACGUUAAAAAAUUACAAAUAAGUCCUUAAAAUCUAGUUUUUCCUCCCCUUGCCUUAAUGACAGCUUCCUUCCGAUCCUUCAUGGACGUAACGAGGGUCACCACUCUCUCUUGGGGUAUGUUCUCCCAUUCUUUCGUCACGGCAUUCUGGAGCUCUUGGAGAAUGGCGGGAGCAGGAUCUCGUGCUCGUACGUGUUUCUUUACAUCGUUCCAGAAAUGCUCGAUCGAGUUCAGGUCUGGGCUUCGUGCUGGCCACUGCCUAACAGGAACCUUAGCCUCCAAUUAGUCCCACACAGCAAACGCAGCGUGGCAACGGGCGUUAUCAUGCAUUAAUAUGAACCUAUCACCAACAAAACUGGCAUACGGGAUCACAUGGUCUUGUAAGAUCUCCGUUAUGUACCGCCCAGCACCCAGCAUUCAGCGACCCUUGCCCGACCAUCGCCAGUCCGAAGACGCAUACAAGCUCCGUUUUCCCUUCAACGGAUAUGCCACCCCAGAACAUACAGGAACUAACUACGUAUUCGACGGAUUCCUUUGUACAAUCAUGGGUAAAACGCUCUCCUCUUCUUCGGUAUACUCUUCUGCGUAUACUCUUCUGUCAUUGCAGAAUAGAUAUACUCGUUCUGCGAGCUGAUCGGAGCUCUUGUUGCACCUCAACAGCAUUGCUGAAGCGGUGACGCAACGGCGUGGACACAAUGAAGCCGUCGUCUCUUUCUGAUGUGCAGCGUUUUCUUCCGGAUUCACGUCUUCGGGUAUACCCACCAGUCUCACGGAACCGUUGGUAUACUUGUCGAACUGAGAAUCGGCUAAGGUUCAACUGUCGAGUAACGUCAACCUGUCGCAGUCCUGUUUGCAAUAGCGCUAUGAUUUGAGCGGCUUCUUCAGGGGUUGUAUCCAUCUUCAGGUAUUGUUCUUUGGAGUAUGUUGUUCCGGUGUGUUCACUCUAAAGUCUGAAUAGUAACUAACCCAUUUUUUACCUGGGCAUGACCUUUUGUACCCAUUUAAGGUAAGAAGUAGCUAAACGCAUUUUUGCUCCACUAGUUAAUCGACUCUUUAAAACAAAAUUUAUUAAAAUCGCCUUAUUACCAUCAGCAAGCAUUGACAAAUCAAUCGCAGAAAUUAAGUCACUAGUUACCUCUUCAUCACCGGUCAUUUUAGGCAAUAGGCUUACAGCCGUCUUUAAAUUAAACUUUUUACCUGACACUGAUAUUGUGGCAGAUUUAUCAUUUCAAAUUUCAAAAUUUUAUCAUAGCAUUUGUUUAAAUAUGAGCAUAAAAAUUCUUUAGACGGAUCUUUAGGUAAAAUACUCAAAAUAUUUUUGAACGACACAUACAAGUUCUUAGCUUCUGAAAUAUUAUUCUCUAAAUUACUACCUAUUCUUGUUGAAGGACCUAACUUAGAAAUAGAAUCCGUGCAAUGUUUUCAUUGCUUAUAAAUAUCUGAUAAUUUUAAUUCUAUACUCAUAAUCUAAUUCAAUAAGUAGGUAUUACCGAUUACGACUUACUUGUUGGUCACUCUUACAACUUGGUUUCUGGGUCCUCAUGCUCUCUGAUUUCCCUGCGACGUCGGUAGCUUACACGCGCGAGAACUCGUUGCAAAGCGUCACUACUCAGCUGUUUCUGAAUCCAGUUGGUGUGGCAUCGCUUGUACAGGCAGAAGAAUCCGAUCAACACCGCCAGCAGCAUACAUACGCAUAUUAUGGACAAAAAAAUAUUGUUCGUCUGAAGGAGUUCCGCCGUCGCUUGUGCGUGGUUGCUCCCGGCUGCAGACUGCGCAAUGACCACUUCUUCUUUGCUUUGCGUUGUACGUUCUUGGUUGGUGUUCUACGUCGAUAUCCCAAAAAUCGCGAGAAUCCUGAUGCCAAUGCAAUAUCCAAAAUCAAUCAAUAUCCCGAAGUCUUGAAGAUUGAGAAAUAUUGUAGUAGGUGCAUGUAGCUAUAGAGUAGACAGCUACCUAGCAUGGUCGCCAUGUGGUGUGGUCUGGUCACGAUAGAUUAGAAGAGUUGAAAUAAUACGUCCAUUUAGUUUGAAGGACCGGUUUAUUGUGUAAAAAGGUAUAAUUCGUUACAAGACAGUAGUGCUGAAGAAGCACUUUACAUAAGGCUGUUUCCAUACUUGAAAGGUUACACACUACUCCAGAUGCUAGAUACCGUAAUGUUACAGCUAGUCUUGUUUGAGGUAAAAUUGGCUGUCGAAAAUUUGUUGCUCUUUUAGCUAUUGACGUAUCAAUUAACUCUAAAAGAUGUUCGAAAUCACUUUUUGACGUCCUCAUAAAGUUAAUAAAGGAUCUAUUUGCCAACGUAAGACCACUUAUCUUUUUGCAUUUCGCACCCACCACUUCUUUUUUCUUCUUUUUUUAUAGAAAAAAAACAUUAUAAGGUACGCAGAUCACAACAACACUACUUCCUCGGGCAACAUUUUAAUGUAGACUUGCGUUUGGAUGGAAAGUAUGGCUGUAAACGUUGUUGCUAGCAACUCUGAUGUUGAGAAACUUUGGUAUUUAGAAACAGUUGUUUACAAUGAAUACGGUGAUUUAUUCCAACAUGUUUACCAUCGACGGCACCGAUAAUAUUAAGAAAGUUAGUACGCUCGUGAAACUGAUCAGCAAUUUUAUACCCACCUUCUUCAUUUUUUUCUGCCAUGUACAGAGGUUGCAAUGCUUCCCAUAUCGAUUGGCUGUUGUUGAAUUUACAAUAUUCCAAAGCGUUGUGGCUCCAAUUUGAUAUUCAAAAGAUCAUGUUAUGAAACUUGCACCAGUUGCUAAAUACCUGUAAAUAAAAGAAUGCAAAUUUUUAGUGAUACAACGUUGUUGGAAAAAUUUAAGAGCAUGUUUUUCGAGGGAGCUUCGUUGUCAAAAAGACGUAAAAUUAGGGCAAGCUGCACCUAAACGAAAACAAUACGUGUUCUUCAAUAAGUUACUAUUUUUGGUGCCUCUUAUGUAGCCAAGGGAGCGAAACCUCAAGUAACGUGACAUCGCUUGACGAAGAAGCAUUAGUGAGAGCGAUUCUUCUACAGCAAUAACACGACCAAGACAAGAAAAGAAGAAGAAUAAAAGUUACGAAGAAUCUUUAAUUAGACACUACCAGACCCAGACAAUUAUUUCGUGUUAUCUUUGGUUCCAUUAUUAAAGUCAAUUACACCAGAUCAGAAAAUCGAUUACGAUGUUGUACAGCCUAAAAUAUUAUACCCAAUCUUCUAGUAACUAUAAUAAUUAUAAUUCUGCAUUCUUCCUCAACCACAACAACCUUAUAUAUUAUCCCAAAAAAUAAUAUCCCCAGCCCAACCAGCACCAGCUCGUAUAGUUCCUCAGCCAAUAAUGUCUACACCCAACCACAGUUUCAACCACCACCACCGCCGCCACCCCGUGUACUUUCACAGCAAUGUUUCAAUCCUUCUGCGCUCUCUACAUCUACUUCAAUAUAUUUAUGAUAAUAUAUCUCCCCCGCGGUCGAACGAAACUGUGCAAUCAUAUGUGUCAACUCUGUUUGUGUUACUCUGUAGAUGAUUCUGAUAUUGCAAAUGUUUAUGCCUCUGAAUCGAAAGAUUUUUUCGUCACAUACACGGCAAACUUACGAAUCUGCCUUUUUUGGUAAAAUCGGUAUUUAAAAAUAAUGGAAAACCGCGUAUCAUGUACACAAUUAGACGAAUUGCUGGAUUAUUUAGUUGCGCAUCCACAUCUCGUUAAGGGCAUCAGUUUAGGAGCCAGAUCCAAAGAAGCCAUUGCUCAGGAAUGGGAUAAUUUGGCUUCGAAAUUAAAUGUCCACGGAUUGGGUGCUACAAAAACUAGCCAACAAUGGAAGCGGUACCGGGCUGACCUUAAGCACAAGGUCAAAGCCAAAGCUGCAGAACGGAAAAGGAAUGCUUAUGGUACUGGUGGUGGACCUGCGAGCCAGGACGAUAUAAACAAAAUUGAAAAAAAAAAAUUUUGCUAUAAUAAGUGACGCAUAGCACAGGGUACCUGCAAUAACUGUGAGUAAUAAUUGUAAUUAUGUAAUGCUAAACACCAAUAACGUUUUUAUUGUAAUUAAUGCUUAAUCAUAAUAGUUAUUUACGUCAUGUAAUUAUAAUUAUUAACGUGAAAGUUUAACUUUAAAAACAAAGGUUUAUGUCACUUUAUUUUAGACCACUAUUGUUCCUAAGGAACCCCUAUCGUCGGGAUUGGCUGUCACUUCCGAAGAUCAGGGUAUAACCCAGGAAAUAGUAGUUUGGUGUGUGGCGCAUUUACGUUGUAGAUGUUUAUGGGCUCCAGUAACCACCUAACACCAGGUGGGCUGUCAGCUCGUCCACAUAUCAAAGCAAUAAAAAAAAAAGGUAAAAUUAAUCCCAUUUGAUGAACUAAUUAUUUUUGUAACAUUAACAAUAAAUAAAUUUCAGAUUCACCACCUCCCGCCUCAACGCCAGAUCUAUCCCAUUUACUCAAUUCUCCAUCCUAGAGAAGACAAACACGUGUUUGUUAGUUAUUUUUAAACUUUUAUAAUUAUUACGCCAGUUUAAUAUUAUUGCCAUUGCAUUUUGUAUCUGGAUUUGGAUCAUUAACCGUCCUACCGUCAAAGAUUACGUAAAGAAUAUUCGCAGGUUUGAUUUUAAAUAAAAGACCAUGUUUUAUAUAUAUAUCACUUUUAAUACGCAGGGCGUCUUAUCCACGCGGCAUAGGCCACGACACAACUUCAAAUGAAAUGAAUUAGUUGUAUAGUUUUUCCAGUAAUAGUUUGUAAAACAGAUGCUGCUCACGCUGAGAUGAUCCCGUCAACGCUAUAACAGCCAAUCAACGAUAUUAUAGUUAACCCAGUUUCUCGUCGACCAAGAAGUCACCUUAGAAAAAGCUUCAUUGCGAAUACCAACCAGGCUGAAAUUUAGACAACAAACAAGAGUAGACUUGUCCUGGGUUAUAGAGCUGGAAAAAAGCCCGUGGAAGCUGAAGGGAAACUGGCUGAUGCAGCUUUAAUUUUAGCAGAGGCUGCCCGUACGCAAAUCAACGCUGCACAACUUCGAGCUGAAGUAAAUGUAUCUCAGCAUAAAAUGUUCGAAAAAUUAAUCAACAGCAUUGAAAAUCUUGGUAAAAAUAAAUAAAUUAAUAUUGUUUUAUUAUUGUAUAUUUUUAGCAAAUUCCAAAAUGGUAUGUCACCCUAAGUACGAAAUAGGAAUUGUUAUUUAAAAAUAAUGAAGAAAUUCUAAAUUUUUAUAAUUAUGUUUUACUUUAGGCAGGUACCAUAGUAAAUUUUAUGAAACUCAGAUUUCCGUAGAUUAUAUAAUCUACGGAAACAAAACAACUCUCGACUUCGUCAGUAGUCGAGUAUAUUAUUUUUCUAUAUUAUCUAUUUCUAUAUUAUAUUUCUUAUGGUGUACACACGUUUGUAAAAUUAGUGCGGAAAAAUGAAUUCUCGAAAACAGCAAAAAAACAGAGUUAAUAAUUUGUUAAGAAAAUGUACCUUUGUGUGAUGCAAGAACCAACUGUUAUAUAUUGCAAUUAUUGGUAAUAUAUCAUAUUAUCUAUUUUUACGCAUUUUGUAUUUUUGCCGCGUAGCAACACUAUUUUUGACAGUAGUAGGUCAAGAUGGCGACCAGACCGAGCUAUCUUCGUGUCGUUCAGAUAAAUAAUUUCUUUUAAAUAGUUUAAUAUACAUAAAAUGUGAAAAAUACUACGUAAAUCAGUUGACGUAUAUGUAAAUUGUGUUUUAAUUUAUUUUUCAAGUGUUCAAAUCAUAAAGGAAGGUUAUGACAGACUUCAGACAAAAGUGCUGAGUCCACUCCAAAGCUUCGAUUAUUGUGUUGAGUAUCCUCAACAUAGUUGCUUGGUGUGGAUUUUACUUUUUCUUUUUUCUUGAGUUUGGAUAUUUUUUUUAUGUUUGCUUCUCUUACUUUUAAGCAUUAUAUAACUACGUCAUUAUUUAUUUAUUUCUUUUAGAGUGAUAAUUUUCACCUAUGUCGAACCUUCCAUCUGUAACGACAUCAUUUAUUCUUGAUCAAGUUUCGAAUUCCGCUGUACCAUCUCCUCGUUUUUUCCUUUGAACCAUCUAGUGCUUUUCAAUCUCCUCAAAUAAGUACUCCUAAUUUGAUUCGUAAAUCUAGAAUAAUCUAGAUCAAUGAAGAGAAUUCAACGAACAAAACCACAUAAUCAGCCGCGACACUCAGUAAGAAAAAAGCAACUAAAUUUGAACUUCAAGUGGACUACUGGACGUUUUCAGCAUCGCGCUGAUAUAGAAAAUGACAAGUUUUUUGUUGUAAAUAUAUCAAAAUACAGAUGCCACUAGUGACAUCUCCUGAUACUUAUUUAUAAUAACUAAUCUGUUUCAUUAUCUGAUUUAUUAAAGCUGUGUCAUUCGCUUCCCGUCACAGUUUGAAUCACGUUGUUUUAUUUUAGGUUAUGGGCCCAGACUCAUAAAGAAUCAUAAUCAGUGAAUUGAUUGUUAGAAUUACCAGUGUGAUGAACAAUAUUUUUGCUAAUAGUGUUCUAAAAUAUCAAAAUCGUGCGUGAGUGGCAGUCAUGGCAUCUAGCUCCAAUUAUUUAAUUAGCGUGCCUAAGCUAAGAGGACGCGAGAACUUUAGUGAGUGGUGUUUUGCGGCAGAGAACUUUCUAGUAUUAGGAGGAAUGGUAGGGUGCAUUAAACCAGAACCCGGUGAGCCCCCAGCAGCUGCAGAUGACGCUAAAACAAAAGCAAAACUGAUCCUUACCAUCGACCCGACUCUUUACAUUCACAUAAAAAGUGUCAAUAAAUACAUCGAAAGAAUUGUGGGAUAAAUUAAAGAUGCUGUUUGAUGACUAUGGAUACACGAGGAAAAUCAACCUAUUGAGGAAUCUGAUAUCUAUCUAUUAGAUUAGAAAAUUGCACAUCGAUGCCGUCGUAUGUAACGCAAAUUGUUGAAGCGGGUCAGAAGCUACAAGGUACGGGUUUUACAUAAAUGACGAAUGGAUCGGUUCUAUCAUGUUGGAUGGAUUAUCUGAAAAGUAUAUGCCUAUGAUAAUGGCGAUCGAACAUUCGGGCAUCAUUAUUACAACGGACGCCAUUAAAGGGAAGUUGAUGGACAUGGAACCGGAAGAUAGUGAUGUGAAUAAUGCGUUUGCAAGUUUCAAGAAUAAAUCGGUUCAUUAUUCAAAAAAGGUGAAGUCUAUGCGAUCUAUGGUCGGUAAAGAUGGUGGAAAUCAAAGUACUCAAAUGUCGUCAUCUGUUAAGGAUAAACCAAAUGUCAAAUGUUAUGGUUGUAAACAAUAUGGCCACAUUCGCAAUCAGUGUACAAAUACAAAUAUACAAAAAUCUUGGAAGAUUUCGCAAGAUUCAGAAAGUAAAACUAAAACAAUUAAUGCAUUCAGUGCUGUGUUCUUUAAUGGAACAUUUGAUAAGGGUGAUUGGUAUAUAGAUUCAGGUGCAAGUUCACAUUUAACGUGUAACAUGGGUUGGCUAAAGGAUGUUUGUUAUUCUGGUUAUACCAAACAGAUAAUGAUUGCCAAUCAAAGUACAGUUUCCGUAGAAUGUUGUGGAGCCGUAAACGUAACUACGUCAACCGCUGAAAACGAUUACAACAUAACAGUAGAAAAAGUUUUGUGUGUAGUUGGCCACAAAUUUAUUAUCAGUGAGCCGACUAGUAAAACAGGGCAAUAAGGUGCGUUUCACAGGCAAAGGGUGCGAAAUAUUUAAUAAAAAAAACACUUUGGUUGCUACUGCAUCACUUAUAAAUGGUGUUUAUAAAUUGAAUACUUAAUAAUAAACUUAACCGGCUUCUCAAUAACUGCAUUCGAUUUAUUUAUAAUCUUCGGAAAUACGAUCACGUAUCUUCUUAUCGCUCCCAACUCAAAUGGCUCCCCAUUCGUCAACGCCGUAGCUUGCGUGCUCUCAGUACUCUUUACUCUUUGUUGCACUCCCCAAAUCCACCUGCUUAUUUUACUACUUCCUUUCAAUACUUAGGGUCUGACCACAGCCGAAACUUCGUUCAUCUCACUACCUUCUUCUUCGCUGUCCUCCACAUAGUUCUGACUUUUUACAUUCUUCAUUCACUAUUCGGUCUAUUCUUCUAUGGAAUGCGCUCCCACUCAAAAUAGGGUCGGCCACUACACGUGAAGCGUUUAAGACGAAGGUUCGAGAACUGUUUCUCAGAGAGUUAGGAGAGUCAUCUAAUUGAUAAUAUUUGUUUAUAUAUGUUUUUAUAUGUAUAUGUUUAUGAUAUAUAUAUAUAUAUUUAUAUAUAUGUCUAUAUAUUUAUGUUUAUGUAUUUAUUUAAGUACGAGUAUUUGUAUCUAUAAAUAUUAUGUAUGUUAUAUAUACACAUAUGUUUAAGUAAUAUCACCUUCACACUACACCUACCAAGCUUCAUCUCUGCACUCCCCUAAGGUAGGCUGUUAGAGAAUGCCUAUGGCAUUAAGUCCGCCUUUAUACUUUCCAGUAUAAGAAGUUAUAAAUAAAAAAAUCUUCUACUAGUUUGGUGGCAGCAGCAAUUUAGUCUGCAACAGUCUGGUAUCGUCGAUUGGGAGAUGUGAAUAGCUUCAAUAUGAAUAAAAUGCCUAGUGAUGUGGAAGGAGGUCAGAGAUACAGAGACGGCAAACAUUAGCAAGUCAAAUUGCAUUGUAUGCUGCGAAGGAAACCAGAGCCGGUUACCUUUUGCUCAUAAAGGAAAUAGAAGUAAUAAGCUGUUGGGUGUAAUACAUACUGAUAUUUAAUUUUGUGGUCCAAUGGAAAAUAUAUCACUUGGUGGAUUAAGGUAUUUCAUUAUUUUUGUUGAUGAUUAUAGUCGUAUGACACAAGUUUAUUUUUUAAAAAGUAAAGAUGAGGCUUUGCAGAGUUUCAUAGGUUAUAAAGCUAAAGUUGAGAAUUUAUUGUCAAAGAUAAUUAAAACUCUAAGAAACGAUGAAAGUUAUUUAAAGAAUUCAGGUAUUAAUCAUCAAAAAGCUAAUUCAUAUACACCAGAACAAAAUGGACUCUGUGAGAGGAUGAACCGAACAAUUGUACAAAAUAGAAUUGUGAAAACUGGAUUAAACAACCGCACACCAUAUGAGGUAUGGACAGGUACUAAGCCAAACCUGAGUCACUUAAGAAUAUUGGGAAGCGCUGUUAUGAAACACAUUCCUAAAGAAAAAAGACAGAAAUGGGACAAAAAGUCUGAAUAAUGCAUACUUAUAGGCUAUCCUGAGGAUGUUAAGGGAUACCGUAUAUACAAUCCUGCAACACAGAGCAUCACAACAAGUCGAGAUGUUAUAUUUAUAGAAGAAAAUAACUUUGAUGAACAGAAGGUAAUUGAAAUAAAAGUAAAUGAUUUAAGUAAUAAAUCAUUGUCAUCUUCAGUGGGAGAUUUGCCGGACACCAGUAGAGAGGAUUCAUUAACAUCAGCUGAAAAUUGCUACUGACUUGGAUGAAACCUAUGUACCAUCUUCUGAGAAUGAGGAGUCCUUGAAAUUAGAAAAAAUGUAUUUUUCUGAGAACAUUACCGAAAAGGCACAGAAAGCAACCUGACAGAUAUGGAUAUAUGUGUACAGAAGAAUGUAACAAUCCGGUCAAAGAUGAAUUGACAUUAGAAGAGGCACUGGAAGUACCAGAAAAAGAGCACUGGGAACAGGCUAUCAAAGAAGAGCUGAAAAGUUUUGAAGACAACAAGGCAUGGAAUAUUGUUGACGUUCCUGUAAGUAGCAACAUUGUAAAGUGCAAGUGGGUUCUUAACCCUUAAAUGGACGAUUUUUGUUUCACGUUUUAAAAAAAUAUAUUUGUGUAAUAGACAUGUAUUACUGUCUAGGAAAAAUGAGUAAAAAAAUCUAGACAUGAAUUUACUAUACUUUUUUUUGCAAUAAUGUGAGUGUUGUUUGUAAACUACAUUGCGCAUUCAUUGAGAUUUUGCAAGUAUGGGUAAAAUAAGAGUGGAUAUUCAGUCUCAUUCGAGUAGUCACAGUGGAUGCGCGUGCCGCACGUCGUUCAGUCGGAGUCGUGUUUUGUCUACUUACGAGUUAGUGAAGUACCCUGCAUUAAUUGUGAUUAUAGUGUAUUUAAAUAGGGCUACUCCUAGAAACAGGAGUCCCUACAAAAAUAAUGUAUAGUCACCCAACGUCCCAAAAACCAACAACGUCACAACCCACAAUGAUGCCAUCAACACCCAAACCAUCAAGUUAUGCCAACGUAACGUCUUCAACAUGUUUUCCAAAAAAAGAUCAAGCCAUAAUAUUGGAUUCUAUUGACGGAAUAACCCUUAAAGAGUAUCUUGUUGCCUUAUCAGCUAUAACACCAGCCGCAAACAUUCGUUUUAUAUCACGCAUAUCGAAUGCUAGAAUAUGCAUUUAUUUAGACUCUAAGAAAACGGCCGAUAACUUAAUCGAUAAAAAAGUAAAAGUUAACAUAAAAUCCAACGCACUCGAAAUAAAACCGUUAAUUACAAGAAAUAAAAGAAUCGUCCUAUCUAACGUCUGUCCAGUCAUCCCUAAUCAUAUUAUAGAACAAAAAUUUGAAGAACUACGCAUAAAGAUUAUGUCACCUAUAACCUUCAUGAAAAUUGGUGUGAGUGACCCAGGCUUCUCACACAUUUUGAGUUUUAGGCGACAACUUUUUAUUAGUCCCGAGGACGAAAUUCACCUACCAGAAUCUUUUCAAGUAACAUUCGAAGGAACCAACUAUUGGAUUUAUACUUCUACCGAAGCUUUGAAAUGUUUUUCUUGUAAUUCAUUAGGUCAUUUAGCCAAGAAUUGCACACAAAAUGAACAAAACUUAGAAAAAGAAACUGACAAUGAAAUAACUGAAUCUUUCAAUGAGUUACAAGGUUUCUCCUUACCGACCCCAUUAAAAGGAAAAAAACGAAUUCACUCUCCUACCUUAACCGAAUCUUCAAAAACUGGAAUCAAUGAAGAACUACAAAAUGAUGAAUCAGAUAAGAUGGAAUUUGAGACUGAUGAAACAGGAAGCAAUAUCUCAAUAGAAGAUAAUGUUGAUAUAAACAAGACAACACAAAAAAAAAUUAAAGAAAACUGACACCCGGACUAAUGAGGAAAUUUGGGACAAUAUUCGUAAAAAUAUGACAGAUUUAAAAGAAUAUUCCUUCCCUAUCAAUUUAGACCAAUUUAUCAGUUUAUUGGAAAACUCAAGUGGAAAACAAAAUGUUAGAGAAUUAGUAUUUUCAUAUACAGAUAAUGUUAAAGAUCUCAUAAAAAUGUGCAACAAAUUACAUAGUAAAAUGAACAAAAGUUUAAAAAAUAGAUGUUCGCGCCUGUCUAAGAAACUACAUGAAUUGCUAAACCCUAACCCUAUCUUGAUGUCAGACAGAGAUGAAUAAGAAACUUUAUUUUCACACAAAUAAGAAAUAAUUUAUACACACAACAACAAUAUAUAUUUAUACACACUUUAACAAACUAUAUACUAAAAUAAAUAAUAUAAAUUUCUAUAUCUGAUUAGAAUGGAUAUUUUGCAGUGGAAUAUCAAUGGCUAUUUUAAGAGACUUGAAAAUAUUAAAUUAUUGGUAAAUCAUACAUGGCCAACAUGUAUCUGUUUUCAAGAAACUAAUUUUAGCUCCAACUAUUACGCUUUUAUGUCAGGAUAUGAAAAGUUUUAUAGAAAUCGAACACAGAGUGGUAGGGCUAGUGGUGGAGUAGUUAUUUAUAUUAAACCUCAUACAAUUCCUGAGGAAAUAAAAUUAAACACAAACCUUGAAGCAAUAGCAAUAAAAAUUAAAUUUCCAUUUUCAAUUACAAUGUGUAACAUAUAUAUACCGAAUAGUCAUCGAUUAGAUAAACAAGAAUUUAAUAAGCUCAUUGAGCAACUACCAAAACCCUAUAUAAUUUUAGGUGAUUUUAACAGCCAUCAUUUUUAUUGGGGCUCGAACAAAUGUGAUAGUAGAGGUAAAAUAAUAGCAGAAUGGCUCGAUGAAAAUGAUAAUGUUGCUUUAUUAAAUAAUGGACAACCCACCCAUUUUGAUAGUAAUACUGGUCGCACUAGUAAUAUAGACCUCUCAAUGGCUUCACAAAAUAUAAUUUCAUAUUUUGAAUGGAAUGCCUUAGAUGAUUUAUAUGAUAGUGACCAUUUUCCGAUUUUAAUUAAAUCUCAAAUCUCUAAUGAUAAUGUCCCAGAAAAUAUUAAAGUACCACAAAAAUGGAAGACUGAUAAAGCCAAUUGGAUUAAUAAAUAUAUUACAGAAUUACCUGCUUUAAAUAUAGAUACGCCUAAAUAUUCUGUCAAUGAAUACCUUGAAAAAUUUACUGAAGUUAUUCUUAAAGCAGCACAAAAAUCUAUACCUAAAACGUUCGGGAUAUUAAGAAAAAAUAACUUACCUUGGUGGACAGAUGAAUGUAAAACUGCAACUAAAGAAACUAAAAAAGCAUUUAAACUGUUUAAGCGAUAUGCCAGAAAUGAACCUAAUUCAAAUUACAAAAUUGAUUAUAAAAAAAAACGAGCUUAUUGCAGAAGACUAGUUAAAGAAAAUAGAAAAAAAUAUUGGAAAAAUUGGGUCUCAUCUAUAAAUAAUAAUACUCUUGUGGGUGAUAUAUGGAAAAAGAUACAAAAACUUAGUUAUCGAAACACUAAAUUUAAUAAUAUAGUUCUAGAAAAAAAUAAUGGAUCAUUUACAUCUAAUCCUAUGGAAAUUUCUAACUUAUUGGCGAAAACAUUUGCAACAAAUUCUAGCUCUGAAAAUUAUGAUCCAAAAUUUCUUGAUAAAAAGAACUAUCAAGAGACAUAUUCAAACUUUAAUAUUACUGAAAACUCUAACCCAAUUAAUGAUGACAUAACGUUACAUGAAUUGAUACAAGUAAUUACUCAAGCCAAAAACUCCAGCCCUGGACCAGAUAAUAUACCAAACAUUAUAAUUAAGCAUUUACCUGCGAGGGCAUUAGAAUAUUUACUUCAACUUUAUAAUUUUGUAUAUAAAAAACAAGUAUUCCCAGACAGUUGGAGAGAAGCUUUGGUUAUUCCAAUUUUAAAACCAGGCAAAAUACCAAGUUUGCAAUCCAGCUAUAGACCCAUAUCUUUGACAUGCAAUAUGUGUAAAAUACUGGAAAAAAUAAUCAGCAAAAGAAUCAGGUGGUAUGUGGAAACCAAUAAAUAUCUUUCAGCGUUUCAGUAUGGUUUUCGGCAAUACAGAUCAACAACUGACUGUUUGAUCAAUAUUGAAAGUGAAAUACUCGAUAGUUUUGCAAAUAGUAAUUAUUCAGUGGUAGUAGCCUUAGAUAUCGAAAAGGCAUAUGAAAUGGUGUGGAAGCACAGAGUUCUGAAGUUAUUACAGAAUAUUAACAUUGUUGGCAAUACCUUAGCUUUUGUCAGGAACUUUCUUUCAAGUAGAACAAUGAAAGUCAGAAUUAACGACUACAUGUCUGAUCCUGUCCCUAUAGAAAAUGGGCUACCCCAAGGUUCAGUAUUAAGUGUUAUUUUAUUUUUAGUGGCCAUAAAUGACGUUCUUAAUAAUAUUGAAAAACCAGUGAAGGGUUUCCUAUUUGCCGAUGACCUUACAAUAAUUUGUAGUGGCGGAACAUUAUGCCCUACCUUGAAGCUUAUUCAAAAUACACUUAAUAAUUUACAGGAAUGGUCAGAAAGAGUUGGAUUUAAAUGUUCUAAAACAAAAACGGAGGUUAUGAUAUUUACAAAUAAAAGAAAAAUAUUUAGAAACACACAAUUAACCUUAAAUAAUCAUAGUAUUUAAAAAUUUUAGGUUUGAUAUUUGAUAAAAAACUGUCAUGGAAUACACACAUAAAUAACCUUAAAUCAGAAUGUUAUAAAAGACUAAAUAUAAUAAAGGCCUUAUCAACCACUGGAUGGGGGUCAGAAAAAAGUUGCUUAAUUAAUAUAUAACGUACUCUGAUCAGGCAGAAAAUAGAUUAUGGCUGCAUUAUUUAUGAUUCCGCCAAAAAACGAACACUAAAUUCCUUAGAAAGUAUCCAAAAUACUGCUCUUCGUCUAAGUAUUGGUGGUUUUAGAACAAGCCCCAUUAAAUGUAUCCUAGUUGAAGCUGGUGAAAUGCCAUUAGAAUUUAGAAGGAAACAACUUAUACUUACAUAUGAGUCGACUAUUAUCAAAGCCGGCAAUGUGACUUUUGGACAAUUAUUGGUAAAUCAGAAAAACGAAUUAUUGACUUUGUAUUCCAUUGGCAGUCACAAAACUCUUCUGAUCGACAUCUUAGAUAAAUAACAGGUUAAGUAUUAACCGUAUUCUUUGAAGUUGACGAUUAUAUUCAAAUCAAUCUGUAUUGACAUAUCAAUAACAUUUUUUUGUCCAAAUGCACAGAUUGCCACCUUUGAUAAUAGACGACUCAUAUGUAACAAAUAUAUUAACUCAACCUGAAAAUCCCACCUACCAUUAUUACACUAGAGUAACAGCAGUUGACACUGAAUAUGAACUCCAACCUAAUUUAUCUCAACCCUUACGAAUCAGAGCAGUCAAAUACUUAGAUGAAUUAAAUCUUAAAAUUCCAAAAUUAUUUACAAAAAACUGCUUACUUCUGGUCCAUGGGAAAACUUAGAAUUGCCAGUUAACCUUGAAUUAGCCAACUAUAAAAAAGGUGAUACCCCUCAGUGUAUAUAUAAAAACUUAUUUUGUGAAAUUAAUGAUAGAUAUAGAGGUUACAAAAUUUAUUACACAGAUGGUUCUGUAAAAGAUGGACAUUCAGGUUGUUCAGUAGUAUACUAGAAAAGUUUUCUUCAAAGUGACAUUUGACAUUAACUUAUUUUCAAUGCAUAAAAAUAUUGGAUAGUGCCAACAUUAAAAAAAGUACAAAAUUCAUUCAGAAAUAAGAACUAGUUGUCAAAAUUAACAAAAAAUUAAAAGAAGGUCAAUUUUAUCUGUGAUGUUUAGUAAAUUAUUUAAAAAGAUUACCAUUUAAAAAGAAAUACGAUUCUGAAAAUAAUGUGCGAUAUCGAGCGAGACUUGUGGCUAAAGGUUGUUCACAAAGAUAUGGUGAGGACUACAGUGAAACUUUCUCUCCUGUGGUGCGGCAUAUAGCACUUAGAUUAUUAUUUGCAUUAUCAGUGCAGAUGAAUCUGAAAGUGAUUCAUCUUGAUAUGAAAACUGCCUUCUUGAAUGGAGAUCUGUCUGAGACUAUAUACAUGCAAAAACCUGCAGGCUAUGUCUGUAAAGAUGAUAAAAAUGUUCUUAAAUUAAACAAAGCUAUAUAUGGUCUCAAGCAGGCUUCUCGAGCAAGAUUUGUCAUUUUCUUUUUUCCGUUUUUAUUGUACGCGAAUUAUAAAAUUUCCAAAAAUAAAAAUUUUAUACGUGCAAUCCUCGCGAGUUUAUUUAUUAAGUCCCUUACCCAUCAUAAUCCUGCAGUUCACUACAUAUAUUGGUCCAUUACGGCCGAAGAAAAGAAAUUCUAUGAACGAUAAUAAACAGGCCGAGGCGAAGCCGGCGAGCGACAUUGAAAGAGCGAAAACUUAAAUAAAAAAAAAUAUAUCGGCAAGGCAGGAAGCAGUGCAAACAACGGCGAAGAGGAACUCAGACAGGCAAGCUAAAUCAGGGAUUUUGGCGAGAAGACAUGAGGGCGAUAAAGAUCCUGGUUUCAACUAUGUCUCUUGAAGAACACAGGCAUAAGGUUUAUAUUUUUUUUAAUAAGUAAACAAGAUCACUUUUUUUAGGAGUGAUGCUUUGACAAUUCCAUUGAAGAAUUUUGACCAUCAUUUGGUAAUGAGUAAUUGCAGAAACUAAUAAGGCAGUGUUGGACGAUGUAUAAUCAUUCGUUUGACUAAGAAAUUUUGAAAGAGAAAUAAUUGAAUCAAUUACUCAUUACCAAUGGGUUUUCAUUUUCUUUGUUCAUUAAUGAACAUCCAUUAGAGGGUUGGAGAAUAUUAAAAUCCCUUAAGAUUUCUUGUUGAGCUGAUUUCUCAUAUCCUUUGCUAAGUGUAGGUGGAGACUUUGGUUUAAUAAAAACAGUUUUUUUUUAUGAAGUACUUUUUAUAGCUUUAGGUGAAGAAUGUUGAUGCUGGAUUGAAAAAGUAUUAAGAGUGAUUGAGCAAUGCAUCUGUAUAAGAAAUUCGAGAGACAGAUGGAUGUAACUUUGAAGCUUCUAAGUAGGAAAUACAGCUUUUAGCCAUUGAUUCCUUUAUAGCUCUUUGUCUAAUAAAACCAGAAAUGAACUCAGAGCGUAUAUUACGCAGGAGCGCUCCGUCCGACACGGCGACUCGCUCGCUUCUGAGCUCGAGAGACAACAACGGAGCGUUUUUAUAGCAAGGUAUCGUGGUGUAGCAAACCUACAUUAAUGUCAUUCAUUCUAAAUCAUUCACUAGGUCUUAAACCAGUCAUAAUUUUCAUUCACAAAAUUCGCUUCCAUCGCUGUGCCUGUAAAAACCUUUGUACUUUCUAUAAAUAUCAAUAAACACCCAGUAAUAGUGAUAGUGUUUAUAUUUCACAAGAACCACAAAACCUACAGUCCACUCAGUUAUCCACAACAAACAUGGUCCUUACGAGCCGUAAAUAAGUGAAAUACAAGAAGUGCAACGACACGUGGUUUUCAACAUUCGUGCCACGAGUUAUCACACUACUCGCACGAAUUGGUACAGCAGCGAUUCUGCCGCUUCGAAGCUGCUUCUGGUGGAUCAUACUUGGGCCAAUCGAGCAUUCAUUUGUUGGACCAACAACCUCAAUCAGCAUCAAGAAAGAAGCAAAGCGGUCGGCCAUUUUGUCUUGUUCGACAAUACAUACAUUUUAGGUGUAAACAAGACAAAGUGCACCUGUGCAUCUCGUCAAGUUGGCUUCGUUCGUCUUUCGUCGCGCUCGAGGUAAUUCGGAGGCCGCCGGGAGUGACCGAGAAGAAAAAGGAAGGCGACGACACCAACUUCACAUCAAACGAGUAACAUUUGCACCAAUUUUUUUUCUAUAUUUAUUCGUCCUAUGAACGAACAAAACGGAACAACUCUGCUCACUAUUUCCGUUUCGAUUCGUUUUCGUUGUCAAAAACGUGACACGAACAACGCUAAAUUCGCCAUUUUGUGUUCUUGUUAAUUCUUGUCGAGUCAAUCGUUCAUCUUUGCAUAGAAAUUGUGUUAUUUUAUUUAAUUUUAACAACAUUGUUCGGAA
Bombyx mori (domestic silkworm) is the source of this 22901-nucleotide long non-coding RNA. RefSeq annotates it as probable RNA-directed DNA polymerase from transposon BS. The record is from RefSeq and is a predicted model, not a curated record. Lineage: Eukaryota; Metazoa; Arthropoda; Insecta; Lepidoptera; Bombycidae. The transcript has 4 exons.